RNAcentral lists this transfer RNA (75 nucleotides) under Anaerolineales bacterium. RNAcentral's name for it is "tRNA-His". It matches the Rfam family "tRNA". Rfam says of the family: Transfer RNA (tRNA) molecules are approximately 80 nucleotides in length. Their secondary structure includes four short double-helical elements and three loops (D, anti-codon, and T loops). Lineage: Bacteria; Bacillati; Chloroflexota; Anaerolineae; Anaerolineales. The record is from RNAcentral.
CGCUCCGCAAGUUCAGUGGCCGUAACGCCGUCGAAUGAAGACGGAGGAUGCGGGUUCGAUUCCCGCCCGGAGCGA